Molecule: ribosomal RNA, 475 nt
Filed under: Veillonella parvula
Lineage: Bacteria; Bacillati; Bacillota; Negativicutes; Veillonellales; Veillonellaceae
Description: bacterial SSU rRNA
Rfam family: Bacterial small subunit ribosomal RNA
Source: RNAcentral
GACGAACGCUGGCGGCGUGCUUAACACAUGCAAGUCGAACGAAGAGCGAUGGAAGCUUGCUUCUAUCAAUCUUAGUGGCGAACGGGUGAGUAACGCGUAAUCAACCUGCCCUUCAGAGGGGGACAACAGUUGGAAACGACUGCUAAUACCGCAUACGAUCUAAUCUCGGCAUCGAGGAUAGAUGAAAGGUGGCCUCUACAUGUAAGCUAUCACUGAAGGAGGGGAUUGCGUCAGAUUAGCUAGUCGGAGGGGUAACGGCCCACCAAGGCGAUGAUCAGUAGCCGGUCUGAGAGGAUGAACGGCCACAUUGGGACUGAGACACGGCCCAGACUCCUACGGGAGGCAGCAGUGGGGAAUCUUCCGCAAUGGACGAAAGUCUGACGGAGCAACGCCGCGUGAGUGAUGACGGCCUUCGGGUUGUAAAGCUCUGUUAAUCGGGACGAAAGGCCUUCUUGCGAAUAGUGAGAAGGAUUGA